CCCUUCUAAGGAUGGCACCUGGGGAGUUUCCAGUACUCUACCAGUCUCGGUUAUGAGAGGGAGAAUCAAGCAGAGGCUUAAUCAUUCCACUCCUAGCUUGGGCAGUGGCUAGCAAGUGAAAGGCAAUCUGCUACAAGU
Tachyglossus aculeatus (Australian echidna) is the source of this 138-nucleotide small nucleolar RNA. The record is from RefSeq and is a predicted model, not a curated record. Lineage: Eukaryota; Metazoa; Chordata; Mammalia; Monotremata; Tachyglossidae.